Non-coding RNA from Ricinus communis (castor bean), 107 nucleotides. NCBI's taxonomy places the organism in Eukaryota, Viridiplantae, Streptophyta, Magnoliopsida, Malpighiales, Euphorbiaceae. The record is from Rfam.
AGUCCAUGGUGUGGGCAGCAUCGCAAUAAGUCCUUGUACCUCUUCCAAGUGUCAUACAUCGACUCAUCGUCAAACUGCACUAAAGAAGAUAUAUCAUUUCUAAGUUU